This 119-nucleotide ribosomal RNA is filed under the name Prolemur simus (greater bamboo lemur). The record is from RNAcentral. Lineage: Eukaryota; Metazoa; Chordata; Mammalia; Primates; Lemuridae.
GUCUACGGCCAUACCACCCUGAACGCGCCCAAUCUCGUCUGAUCUCGGAAGCUAAACAGGGUCGGGCCUGAUUAGUACUUGGAUGGGAGACCACCUGGGAAUACCGGGUGCUGUAGGCC